GAUUCUGCCAGUUGGUCCAUCUUUUGAUGAGUACUGAUUGUGUGGGGUCUAUCCGCCUGGGGAUACGUAAUGUACUUUAUUGUAUGUUGCGGAUAGCCAGGACUUUUACCUUGAGAAAAUUAGAGUGUUCAAAGCAGGCCUACGCCUGAAUACGUUAGCAUGGAAUAAUAGAAUAGGACGUGCGGUUCUAUUUUGUUGGUUUCUAGAGUCGCCGUA
Molecule: ribosomal RNA, 216 nt
Filed under: Campeiostachys nutans
Lineage: Eukaryota; Viridiplantae; Streptophyta; Magnoliopsida; Poales; Poaceae
Description: Elymus nutans partial small subunit ribosomal RNA
Rfam family: Eukaryotic small subunit ribosomal RNA (bases 68-216)
Source: RNAcentral